This 234-nucleotide non-coding RNA is filed under the name Bacillus smithii. Its description in RNAcentral is "T-box sequence". It matches the Rfam family "T-box leader". From Rfam's summary of the family: Uncharged tRNA acts as the effector for transcription antitermination of genes in the T-box leader family. Lineage: Bacteria; Bacillati; Bacillota; Bacilli; Caryophanales; Bacillaceae. The record is from RNAcentral.
GAGAAAGCGUUGAAGAGGAGAAGUAGGAAACCGAUGUUUAACAGAGAGAACCAUCACCGGCUGAAAGUGGUUUAAACCUCUCGGUUUUCGAAAUGCACCUCUGAGCCCGCAUCUGAAAUUUUAGGGGAAAAGUAAGAUGCGGCGGUAGCCCCCGUUAAAGGAAUGAGUUUGGGGAACUGGCCGUUUGGCCGCUGUUCUCAAACAGAGUGGAACCGCGCUGAAAGCGUCUCUGUC